AACUACUGCUUAUGCUAAGGUGCAUUUAGUGCAGAUAGUGAAAUAGACUAGCACCUACUGCUCUAAGUGCCCCUUCUGGCAUAAGGGGCUGGCAA
This is a microRNA precursor of Cyprinus carpio (common carp), 95 nucleotides long. NCBI's taxonomy places the organism in Eukaryota, Metazoa, Chordata, Actinopteri, Cypriniformes, Cyprinidae. The record is from Ensembl.